This is a small nucleolar RNA of Doryrhamphus excisus (bluestripe pipefish), 92 nucleotides long. RefSeq annotates it as small nucleolar RNA SNORD60. Lineage: Eukaryota; Metazoa; Chordata; Actinopteri; Syngnathiformes; Syngnathidae. The record is from RefSeq and is a predicted model, not a curated record.
AGCCUGUGAUGACAAACCAAACCAAAAGAUUUUCUGACACCUCAUAUGAGAGCAGCACUGCACCUCCUGAUUAACACUGUAAUCUGAGGCUC